GUUGAUCCUGGCUCAGGAUGAACGCUGGCGGUCUGCUUAACACAUGCAAGUCGAACGCAACCUUCGGGUUGAGUGGCGGACGGGUGAGUAACGCGUGAGAAUCUGCCUUGGGGUCGGGGACAACCACUGGAAACGGUGGCUAAUACCGGAUAAGCCUUUGGGUAAAAAAUUUAUUGCCCCAAGAGGAGCUCGCGUCUGAUUAGCUAGUUGGUGAGGUAAAAGCUCACCAAGGCAGCGAUCAGUAGCUGGUCUGAGAGGACGAUCAGCCACACUGGGACUGAGACACGGCCCAGACUCCUACGGGAGGCAGCAGUGGGGAAUUUUCCGCAAUGGGCGAAAGCCUGACGGAGCAAGACCGCGUGAGGGAGGAAAGCUCUUGGGUUGUAAACCUCUUUUCUCAGGGAAGAAGCUCUGACGGUACCUGAGGAAUCAGCCUCGGCUAACUCCGUGCCAGCAGCCGCGGUAAUACGGAGGAGGCAAGCGUUAUCCGGAAUUAUUGGGCGUAAAGCGUCCGCAGGUGGCGAUUCAAGUCUGCUGUCAAAGCACGGGGCUUAACUCCGUUAAGGCAGUGGAAACUGAAUAGCUAGAGUGCCGUAGGGGUAGAGGGAAUUCCCGGUGUAGCGGUGAAAUGCGUAGAGAUCGGGAAGAACAUCGGUGGCGAAAGCGCUCUACUGGACGGCAACUGACACUCAGGGACGAAAGCUAGGGGAGCGAAUGGGAUUAGAUACCCCAGUAGUCCUAGCUGUUAAACGAUGGAUACUAAGGUGUAGCUUGUAUCGACCCGAGCUGUGC
Molecule: ribosomal RNA, 792 nt
Filed under: uncultured organism
Description: bacterial SSU rRNA
Rfam family: Bacterial small subunit ribosomal RNA
Source: RNAcentral